GGUUAAGCGACUAAGCGUACACGGUGGAUGCCCUGGCAGUCAGAGGCGAUGAAGGACGUGCUAAUCUGCGAUAAGCGUCGGUAAGGUGAUAUGAACCGUUAUAACCGGCGAUUUCCGAAUGGGGAAACCCAGUGUGUUUCGACACACUAUCAUUAACUGAAUCCAUAGGUUAAUGAGGCGAACCGGGGGAACUGAAACAUCUAAGUACCCCGAGGAAAAGAAAUCAACCGAGAUUCCCCCAGUAGCGGCGAGCGAACGGGGAGCAGCCCAGAGCCUGAAUCAGUGUGUGUGUUAGUGGAAGCGUCUGGAAAGGCGCGCGAUACAGGGUGACAGCCCCGUACACAAAAAUGCACAUGCUGUGAGCUCGAUGAGUAGGGCGGGACACGUGGUAUCCUGUCUGAAUAUGGGGGGACCAUCCUCCAAGGCUAAAUACUCCUGACUGACCGAUAGUGAACCAGUACCGUGAGGGAAAGGCGAAAAGAACCCCGGCGAGGGGAGUGAAAAAGAACCUGAAACCGUGUACGUACAAGCAGUGGGAGCCUCUUUAUGGGGUGACUGCGUACCUUUUGUAUAAUGGGUCAGCGACUUAUAUUCUGUAGCAAGGUUAACCGAAUAGGGGAGCCGAAGGGAAACCGAGUCUUAACUGGGCGUUAAGUUGCAGGGUAUAGACCCGAAACCCGGUGAUCUAGCCAUGGGCAGGUUGAAGGUUGGGUAACACUAACUGGAGGACCGAACCGACUAAUGUUGAAAAAUUAGCGGAUGACUUGUGGCUGGGGGUGAAAGGCCAAUCAAACCGGGAGAUAGCUGGUUCUCCCCGAAAGCUAUUUAGGUAGCGCCUCGUGAAUUCAUCUCCGGGGGUAGAGCACUGUUUCGGCAAGGGGGUCAUCCCGACUUACCAACCCGAUGCAAACUGCGAAUACCGGAGAAUGUUAUCACGGGAGACACACGGCGGGUGCUAACGUCCGUCGUGAAGAGGGAAACAACCCAGACCGCCAGCUAAGGUCCCAAAGUCAUGGUUAAGUGGGAAACGAUGUGGGAAGGCCCAGACAGCCAGGAUGUUGGCUUAGAAGCAGCCAUCAUUUAAAGAAAGCGUAAUAGCUCACUGGUCGAGUCGGCCUGCGCGGAAGAUGUAACGGGGCUAAACCAUGCACCGAAGCUGCGGCAGCGACGCUUAUGCGUUGUUGGGUAGGGGAGCGUUCUGUAAGCCUGUGAAGGUGUGCUGUGAGGCAUGCUGGAGGUAUCAGAAGUGCGAAUGCUGACAUAAGUAACGAUAAAGCGGGUGAAAAGCCCGCUCGCCGGAAGACCAAGGGUUCCUGUCCAACGUUAAUCGGGGCAGGGUGAGUCGACCCCUAAGGCGAGGCCGAAAGGCGUAGUCGAUGGGAAACAGGUUAAUAUUCCUGUACUUGGUGUUACUGCGAAGGGGGGACGGAGAAGGCUAUGUUGGCCGGGCGACGGUUGUCCCGGUUUAAGCGUGUAGGCUGGUUUUCCAGGCAAAUCCGGAAAAUCAAGGCUGAGGCGUGAUGACGAGGCACUACGGUGCUGAAGCAACAAAUGCCCUGCUUCCAGGAAAAGCCUCUAAGCAUCAGGUAACAUCAAAUCGUACCCCAAACCGACACAGGUGGUCAGGUAGAGAAUACCAAGGCGCUUGAGAGAACUCGGGUGAAGGAACUAGGCAAAAUGGUGCCGUAACUUCGGGAGAAGGCACGCUGAUAUGUAGGUGAAGCGACUUGCUCGUGGAGCUGAAAUCAGUCGAAGAUACCAGCUGGCUGCAACUGUUUAUUAAAAACACAGCACUGUGCAAACACGAAAGUGGACGUAUACGGUGUGACGCCUGCCCGGUGCCGGAAGGUUAAUUGAUGGGGUCAGCGCAAGCGAAGCUCUUGAUCGAAGCCCCGGUAAACGGCGGCCGUAACUAUAACGGUCCUAAGGUAGCGAAAUUCCUUGUCGGGUAAGUUCCGACCUGCACGAAUGGCGUAAUGAUGGCCAGGCUGUCUCCACCCGAGACUCAGUGAAAUUGAACUCGCUGUGAAGAUGCAGUGUACCCGCGGCAAGACGGAAAGACCCCGUGAACCUUUACUAUAGCUUGACACUGAACAUUGAGCCUUGAUGUGUAGGAUAGGUGGGAGGCUUUGAAGUGUGGACGCCAGUCUGCAUGGAGCCGACCUUGAAAUACCACCCUUUAAUGUUUGAUGUUCUAACGUUGACCCGUAAUCCGGGUUGCGGACAGUGUCUGGUGGGUAGUUUGACUGGGGCGGUCUCCUCCUAAAGAGUAACGGAGGAGCACGAAGGUUGGCUAAUCCUGGUCGGACAUCAGGAGGUUAGUGCAAUGGCAUAAGCCAGCUUGACUGCGAGCGUGACGGCGCGAGCAGGUGCGAAAGCAGGUCAUAGUGAUCCGGUGGUUCUGAAUGGAAGGGCCAUCGCUCAACGGAUAAAAGGUACUCCGGGGAUAACAGGCUGAUACCGCCCAAGAGUUCAUAUCGACGGCGGUGUUUGGCACCUCGAUGUCGGCUCAUCACAUCCUGGGGCUGAAGUAGGUCCCAAGGGUAUGGCUGUUCGCCAUUUAAAGUGGUACGCGAGCUGGGUUUAGAACGUCGUGAGACAGUUCGGUCCCUAUCUGCCGUGGGCGCUGGAGAACUGAGGGGGGCUGCUCCUAGUACGAGAGGACCGGAGUGGACGCAUCACUGGUGUUCGGGUUGUCAUGCCAAUGGCACUGCCCGGUAGCUAAAUGCGGAAGAGAUAAGUGCUGAAAGCAUCUAAGCACGAAACUUGCCCCGAGAUGAGUUCUCCCUGACUCCUUGAGAGUCCUGAAGGAACGUUGAAGACGACGACGUUGAUAGGCCGGGUGUGUAAGCGCAGCGAUGCGUUGAGCUAACCGGUACUAAUGAACCGUGAGGCUUAACCUU
Molecule: ribosomal RNA, 2903 nt
Filed under: Escherichia coli
Lineage: Bacteria; Pseudomonadati; Pseudomonadota; Gammaproteobacteria; Enterobacterales; Enterobacteriaceae
Description: 23S ribosomal RNA
Rfam family: Bacterial large subunit ribosomal RNA
Source: RNAcentral